Molecule: ribosomal RNA, 497 nt
Filed under: uncultured bacterium
Lineage: Bacteria
Description: partial 16S ribosomal RNA
Rfam family: Bacterial small subunit ribosomal RNA
Source: RNAcentral
GAUGAACGCUGGCGGUGUGCCUAAUACAUGCAAGUCGAGCGAACAGACGAGGAGCUUACUCCUCUGACGUUAGCGGCGGACGGGUGAGUAACACGUGGAUAACCUACCUAUAAGACUGGGAUAACUUCGGGAAACCGGAGCUAAUACCGGAUAACAUGUUGAACCGCAUGGUUCAACAGUGAAAGACGGUCUUGCUGUCACUUAUAGAUGGAUCCGCGUCGCAUUAGCUAGUUGGUAAGGUAACGGCUUACCAAGGCAACGAUGGGUAGCCGACCUGAGAGGGUGAUCGGCCACACUGGAACUGAGACACGGUCCAGACUCCUACGGGAGGCAGCAGUAGGGAAUCUUCCGCAAUGGGCGAAAGCCUGACGGAGCAACGCCGCGUGAGUGAAGAAGGUCUUCGGAUCGUAAAACUCUGUUAUUAGGGAAGAACAAAUGUGUAAGUAACUAUGCACGUCUUGACGGUACCUAAUCAGAAAGCCACGGCUAACUACGUG